This 1345-nucleotide long non-coding RNA is filed under the name Chrysemys picta bellii (western painted turtle). RNAcentral describes it as "lncRNA (ENSCPBG00000025533.1)". The record is from RNAcentral. Lineage: Eukaryota; Metazoa; Chordata; Testudines; Emydidae.
CAGGCCCUUAUGCAGGGACUGAGCACACAAUUAACAGUUCAGAGCCCAGGCCCUUAUGCAGAGACUGAGCACACAAUUAACAGCUCCGGCCCUGGGUCAGGGCGGGGCAGCACACCAAUAGUCAGUCAGUGGCCCAGGCCUUGUAGCAGGGGCUGGGUCAGUUUGGGUUAGCCCAGGCCCUAGGUCAGGGCGGGGCAGCAAAUCAAUAGUCAGUCAGGGGCCCAGGCCCCUUGGACAAGGAGGAGGAGAGACUGCCACCCGGCGCGGGGUGGCAGGGGGGAACACAGGCCCACCCACUCCACUGUGUUCCAGCCCGGGGCCCUAUCCGCAGCAGUCCAUCUGCCGCGCAGUCAGUGGGGAUCCUGACCGCAACACACUGACAUGGGUUCGGGGUCUGCUAUUCCCGGGCCACUUCCCAUCUCCUCCUCCAUGGGUACCUGCUCCUCCUGAGUUCCGUCUGCUGGGUCGCAGAUCAUGGGCUCCUCCGGGCCCCGAGCACCAGGUAGGUCUGUCGCUCCCUCUGGGCCCUCGGCGGGGGGAAGCUCAGGCCGCUCCUCGGGGUACCGGGCUCUCGGCAGGCUCGGCCAGUCCUCCUCAGGAUACCGGGCUCUCGGCAGGCUCGGCCAGUCCUCCUCAGGGUACCGGGCUCUCGGCAGGCUCGGCCAGUCCUCCUCGGGGUACCGGGCUCUCGGCAGGCUCGGCCAGUCCUCCUCGGGGUACCGGGCUCUCGGCAGGCUCAGGUCCGCGGGAGCUCAGGCACCAGCGUCUGUCCUCUCCCGCUGCCGGCCAGCUACUGAGCGCUGGGGCCUGGCCUUUAUACUUCCUGUCCCGCCCCUUGACUUCCGGGGGGCGGGGACAGGCCACGGUGGCUCCACCCACUCUGGCGGCUUUUCUGACUCAUCGCUUCCUGGGGCGCCUGGAAGCCAGGCUGCCCCGCUACAGGUGGGUUAAAAAACUCUUGGUGGGUAUUGUUGGGGCCAUAGUAAUCCUUAUAAUACUGUGUUGNNNNNNNNNNCGGGCUCGGCCAGUUCUUCUCAGGAUACCGGGCUUUUGGCAGGCUCGGCCAGUCCUCCUCAGGGUACCGGGCUCUCGGCAGGCUCGGCCAGUCCUCCUCAGGGUACCGGGCUCUCGGCAGGCUCAGGUCCGCGGGAGCUCGGGCACCAACGUCUGUCCUCUCCCGCUGCCGGCCAGCUACUGAGCGCUGGGGCCUGGCCUUUAUACUUCCUGUCCUGCCCCUUGACUUCCGGGGGGCGGGGACAGGCCGCGGUGGCUCUGCCCACUCUGGCGGCUUUUCUGGCUCAUCGCUUCCUGGGGCGCCUGGAAGCCAGGCCGCCCCGCUACAGGG